GAUGAACGCUGGCGGCGUGCCUAAUACAUGCAAGUCGAGCGAACAGACGAGGAGCUUGCUCCUCUGACGUUAGCGGCGGACGGGUGAGUAACACGUGGAUAACCUACCUAUAAGACUGGGAUAACUUCGGGAAACCGGAGCUAAUACCGGAUAAUAUAUUGAACCGCAUGGUUCAAUAGUGAAAGACGGUUUUGCUGUCACUUAUAGAUGGAUCCGCGCCGCAUUAGCUAGUUGGUAAGGUAACGGCUUACCAAGGCAACGAUGCAUAGCCGACCUGAGAGGGUGAUCGGCCACACUGGAACUGAGACACGGUCCAGACUCCUACGGGAGGCAGCAGUAGGGAAUCUUCCGCAAGGGGCGAAAGCCUGACGGAGCAACGCCGCGUGAGUGAUGAAGGUCUUCGGAUCGUAAAACUCUGUUAUUAGGGAAGAACAUAUGUGUAAGUAACUGUGCACAUCUUGACGGUACCUAAUCAGAAAGCCACGGCUAACUACGUG
This 497-nucleotide ribosomal RNA is filed under the name uncultured bacterium. RNAcentral's name for it is "partial 16S ribosomal RNA". It matches the Rfam family "Bacterial small subunit ribosomal RNA", at positions 28 to 507 of the family's 1533-position model. The record is from RNAcentral.